This 391-nucleotide long non-coding RNA is filed under the name Nicotiana benthamiana. RNAcentral's name for it is "long non-coding RNA (NBEN_LNC030691)". Lineage: Eukaryota; Viridiplantae; Streptophyta; Magnoliopsida; Solanales; Solanaceae. The record is from RNAcentral.
CUCCUUAUUGCUGGGAAUUUACCAGCACCAGAAUUCUGGUCUCCCUUGUCUGACGACCAAGCUUUUGGUGUGCUCUUAAGUACACCCUUAGACCAGGACAAAACAGCAUUCUCUAACUUGCUCUUUCGAACUUCCGGGUCUAAGGUAUUAUCAGCAUUUUCUUUAUUGUCAUUCUUCUCCCCAUCUAGUGAAAAUCUCAAAUUCAGAGAUAUAUCAUGAAUAUCUCUCAAGGAAUCACUAGGAGAAUCAGUUUCUGAAUUUUCAUCAUCAUCAUCAUCGGUUCUCAGCCACCGUGGUUGCCUAGGUUUGCAGCUAGCUAUCCGGGAAAGAUAUGUUUUACAGUGCUCAGGCCACGAGAAGAGGUGGAUAUUUUUUAAUCCAUUUGCCCUGC